UACCCUACGGGGGGCAGCAGUGGGGAAUUUUGGACAAUGGGCGCAAGCCUGAUCCAGCUAUUCCGCGUGUGGGAUGAAGGCCCUCGGGUUGUAAACCACUUUUGUAGAGAACGAAAAGACACCUUCGAAUAAAGGGUGUUGCUGACGGUACUCUAAGAAUAAGCACCGGCUAACUACGUGCCAGCAGCCGCGGUAAUACGUAGGGUGCGAGCGUUAAUCGGAAUUACUGGGUGUAAAGGGUGCGCAGGCGGUUGGGUAAGACAGAUGGGAAAUCCCCGUGCUUAACUGUGGAAU
Molecule: ribosomal RNA, 294 nt
Filed under: uncultured bacterium
Lineage: Bacteria
Description: partial 16S ribosomal RNA
Rfam family: Bacterial small subunit ribosomal RNA
Source: RNAcentral